UGAACAGAGAGUUAAUUUCAUACCGUUUCCGUAAACAUAUCGAAUAACAAAAAAAUCUCUAAAAAAUUUAACUUUUCAUAUUUAUCUUUACAAAAUUUAGUGAUAUUUAUAUUUAUCUUUCCGGUUUGUUAUUGGCAGAGCACUAUUUAUUUUUAAGAGAAAAUAACUGAAAUGAUAUUUUUGCCAUAAAAAAUAUGUCCCUUUAAAAGUCCCAACUGUUAAAAUUAUACAGAAUUACUCUUCUAAAAAUUUUCAAUAGUCAUUAUCUUUCCUUUUGCCGUUACAAAUAAUGUAAAAAGGGUAAAAAAUCAAUUUACCUCAUUUACUGACCGUGGUUUAGUAUUUUACCUACGAUUAACUAUAUUUUUCUAAUAGAUCCUAAUUAACACAACAAAAGUAUAUUUGAUAACGGUAGGAUUUUUAUAGAAAUAAAUAUGAAAAGUUAAAUUUUGUGCAGAAAUUUAUUUUUUAUUGAUAUAUUUGUAGAGAGUUAGUACAUAAUUAAGCUAUAA
This 512-nucleotide long non-coding RNA is filed under the name Ananas comosus (pineapple). RNAcentral's name for it is "long non-coding RNA (ACOM_LNC019068)". The record is from RNAcentral. Lineage: Eukaryota; Viridiplantae; Streptophyta; Magnoliopsida; Poales; Bromeliaceae.